AUUGGGACCAACACGAGUGCAAUUAAUUCUUCUUGUGAUGACCAUAGGCAACACCAAGAAGAGGCCCGAGUGAGGGAGUCCAAGGGACAUGAAGGUGGAAAGUGCCUUGCAGGACCAGAUGAUGGAACUCCAGGAGGCCACAGGCAGUAAGACUGUAAGAGCAGGAGGAGGGAAAAUUGAGGUUAUUGACUCAAGCUUUGGGAAACCCAACAGGCAAGUACAAAGCAGGUUCCGUGGAAGGGACCUCCACUUGCUUCUUGGAGAUAUACGUGGCUAGGAAGAGCAUGACUGCCACCCUUGCUAUAUCAGAAGGCCAGACAAACUGCAAAUUCAAACUUUCCUGGAAUUCAUAAGACAGCAAGGUCACAGGGCAAAGAAGUAACCCAAGAUGGAAGGACAGACAGACAUCUGCAGGAAAAGAUGAGACAUCAGCCCUUGCUUCCCUGGGGCAGAUGCAGCAG
Molecule: long non-coding RNA, 461 nt
Filed under: Camelus dromedarius (Arabian camel)
Lineage: Eukaryota; Metazoa; Chordata; Mammalia; Artiodactyla; Camelidae
Description: lncRNA (ENSCDRG00005010488.1)
Source: RNAcentral